RNAcentral lists this long non-coding RNA (3419 nucleotides) under Homo sapiens (human). RNAcentral describes it as "non-protein coding lnc-ZNF217-8:1". The record is from RNAcentral. Lineage: Eukaryota; Metazoa; Chordata; Mammalia; Primates; Hominidae.
UCCACCUCUGGGGGCAGGGCACAGACAAACAAAAAGACAGCAGUAACCUCUGAAGACUUAAAUGUCCCUGUCUGACAGCUUUGAAGAGAGCAGUGGUUCUCCCAGUACGCAGCUGGAGAUCUGAGAACGGGCAGAUUGCCUCCUCAAGUGGGUCCCUGACCCCCGAGCAGCCUAACUGGGAGGCACCCCCCAGCAGGGGCACACUGACACCUCACACGGCAGGGUAUUCCAACAGACCUGUGGCUGAGGGUCCUGUCUGUUAGAAGGAAAACUAACAAACAGAAAGGACAUCCACACCAAAAACCCAUCUGUACAUCACCAUCAUCAAAGACCAAAAGGAGAUAAAACCACAAAGAUGGGGAAAAAACAGAACAGAAAAACUGGAAAUUCUAAAAAGCAGAGCGCCUCUCCUCCUCCAAAGGAACGCAGCUCCUCACCAGCAACGGAACAAAGCUGGACGGAGAAUGACUUUGAUGAGCUGAGAGAAGAAGGCUUCAGACGAUCAAAUUACUCUGAGCUACGGGAGGACAUUCAAACCAAAGGCAAAGAAGUUGAAAACUUUGAAAAAACUUUAGAAGAAUGCAUAACUAGAAUAACCAAUACAGAGAAGUGCUUAAAGGAGCUGAUGGAGCUGAAAACCAAGGCUGGAGAACUACGUGAAGAAUGCAGAAGCCUCAGGAGCCGAUGCGAUCAACUGGAAGAAAGGGUAUCAGCGAUGGAAGAUGAAAUGAAGCGAGAAGGGAAGUUUAGAGAAAAAAGAAUAAAAAGAAAUGAGCACAGCCUCCAAGAAAUAUGGGACUAUGCGAAAAGACCAAAUCUACGUCUGAUUGGUGUACCUGAAAGUGAUGGGGAGAAUGGAACCAAGUUGGAAAACACUCUGCAGGAUAUUAUCCAGGAGAACUUCCCCAAUCUAGCAAGGCAGGCCAACGUUCAGCUUCAGGAAAUACAGAGAACGCCACAAAGAUACUCCUUGAGAAGAGCAACUCCAAGACACAUAAUUGUCAGAUUCACCAGAGUUGAAAUGAAGGAAAAAAUGUUAAGGGCAGCCAGAGAGAAAGGUCGGGUUACCCUCAAAGGGAAGCCCAUCAGACUAACAGUGGAUCUCUCGGCAGAAACCCUACAAGCCAGAAAGAGUGGGGGCCAAUAUUCAACAUUCUUAAAGAAAAGAAUUUUCAACCCAGAAUUUCAUAUCCAGCCAAACUAAGCUUCAUAAGUGAAGGAGAAAUAAAAUACUUUACAGACAAGCAAAUGCUGAGAGAUUUUGUCACCACCAGGCCUGCCCUAAAAGAGCUCCUGAAGGAAGCGCUAAACAUGGAAAAGAACAACCGGUACCAGCCGCUGCAAAAUCAUGCCAAAAUGUAAAGACCAUCCAGACUAGGAAGAAACUGCAUCAACUAACGAGCAAAAUCACCAGCUAACAUCAUAAUGACAGGAUAAAAUUCACACAUAACAGUAUUAACUUUAAAUGUAAAUGGACUAAAUGCUCCAAUUAAAAGACACAGACUGGCAAAUUGGAUAAAGAGUCAAGACCCAUCAGUGUGCUGUAUUCAGGAAACCCAUCUCAAGUGCAGAGACACACAUAGGCUCAAAAUAAAAGGAUGGAGGAAGAUCUACCAAGCAAAUGGAAAACAAAAAAAGGCAGGGGUUGCAAUCCUGGUCUCUGAUAAAACAGACUUUAAACCAACAAAGAUCAAAAGAGACAAAGAAGGCCAUUACAUAAUGGUAAAGGGAUCAAUUGAACAAGAAGAGCUAACUAUCCUAAAUAUAUAUGCACCCAAUACAGGAGCACCCAGAUUCAUAAAGCAUGUCCUGAGUGACCUACAAAGAGACUUAGACUCCCACACGUUAAUAAUGCGAGUCUUUAACACCCCACUGUCAACAUUAGACAGAUCAAUGAGACAGAAAGUCAACACCCAGGAAUUGAACUCAGCUCUGUACCAAGCGGACCUAAUAGACAUCUACAGGACUCUCCACCCCAAAUCAACAGAAUAUAUAUUUUUUUCAGCACCGCACCACACCUAUUCCAAAAUUGACCACAUACUUGGAAGUAAAGCUCUCCUCAGCAAAUGUAAAAGAACAGAAAUUGUAACAAACUAUCUCUCAGACCACAGUGCAAUCAAACUAGAACUCAGGAUUAAGAAUCUCACUCAAAACCGCUCAACUACAUGGAAACUGAACAACCUGCUCCUGAAUGACUACUGGGUACAUAACGAAAUGAAGGCAGAAAUGAAGAUGUUCUUUGAAACCAACGAGAACAAAGACACAACAUACCAGAAUCUCUGGGACGCAUUCAAAGCAGUGUGUAGAGGGAAAUUUAUAGCACUAAAUGCUCACAAGAGAAAGCAGGAAAGAUCCAAAAUUGACACCCUAACAUCACAAUUAAAAGAACUAGAAAAGCAAGAGCAAACACAUUCAAAAGCUAGCAGAAGGCAAGAAAUAACUAAAAUCAGAGCAGAACUGAAGGAAAUAAUAGAGACACAAAAAACCCUUCAAAAAACUAGUGAAUCCAGGAGCUGGUUUUUUGAAAGGAUCAACAAAAUUGAUAGACUGCUAGCAAGACUAAUAAAGAAAAAAAGAGAGAAGAAUCAAAUAGAUGUAAUAAAAAAUGACAAAGGGGAUAUCACCACUGAUCCCACAGAAAUACAAACUACCAUCAGAGAAUACUACAAACACCUCUACACAAAUAAACUAGAAAAUCUAGAAGAAAUGGAUAAAUUCCUCGACACAUACACUCUCCCAAGACUAAACCAGGAAGAAGUUGAAUCUCUGAAUAGACCAAUAACAGGAGCUGAAAUUGUGGCAAUAAUCAAUAGCUUACCAACCAAAAAGAGUCCAGGACCAGAUGGAUUCACAGCCGAAUUCUACCAGAGGUACAAGGAGGAACUGGUACCAUUCCUUCUGAAACUAUUCCAAUCAAUAGAAAAACAGGGAAUCCUCCCUAACUCAUUUUAUGAGGCCAGCAUCAUUCUGAUACCAAAGCCGGGCAGAGACUCAACCAAAAAAGAGAAUUUUAGACCAAUAUCCUUGAUGAACAUUGAUGCAAAAAUCCUCAAUAAAAUACUGGCAAAACGAAUCCAGCAGCACAUCAAAAAGCUUAUCCACCAUGAUCAAGUGGGCUUCAUCCCUGGGAUGCAAGGCUGGUUCAAUAUAGGCAAAUCAAUAAGUGUAAUCCAGCAUAUAAACAGAGCCAAAGACAAAAACCACAUGAUUAUCUCAAUAGAUGCAGAGAAGGCCUUUGACAAAAUUCAACAACCUUUCAUGCUAAAAACUCUCAAUAAAUUAGGUAUUGAUGGGACAUAUUUCAAAAUAAUAAGAGCUAUCUAUGACAAACCCACAGCCAAUAUCAUACUGAAUGGGCAAAAACUGGAAGCAUUCCCUUUGAAAACUGGCACAAGACAGGGAUGCCCUCUGUCACCACU